RNAcentral lists this long non-coding RNA (1429 nucleotides) under Oncorhynchus kisutch (coho salmon). RNAcentral's name for it is "lncRNA (ENSOKIG00005005757.1)". Lineage: Eukaryota; Metazoa; Chordata; Actinopteri; Salmoniformes; Salmonidae. The record is from RNAcentral.
ACAUUGUUGCUGAACGAAGGCAUCUCUUUAUUUUCCAGAAAUAAAACUUGUAGACCUUUCCUGCAGGCUCUGAGGAGAUGGACACCUCUUCUUCUUCUGGACGAUCUCCGUCUCCUACUGGGACUGUCUUCUUACCCCCUCCUAUCAUGUGGAACAGUCUCUACAAGCAGGCAGAGAUGGAGGUUCACUUCCCGAGUGAAGAGAAGAAGACCUAUACAGAGAAGGAAGCCCACAUGCUUGAGUUGAGGGGGAAGGAUCGAAUGAUCCGAAAUCAGAAGAAGGAGAUGGACAGACUUCAAGUCUGCCUCUGGGAGGAGGAAAAGAAGAAGAGGAAUGGUGGAACGGAGAAGGACAAGAUCAUUGAACAAUUACAGUCUGAGACAGACCAUCUCCGAGCCCUUUUAAAAGAUGAAAGGAGGAGAAGAAGAGUAGAAAGGGGUAUCAUGGAAGAGUGGAAGGCUGAGAUCUUGAGACUGAGGGAGGCAGAGUGCCAGAGGGAGUCAGAGAGCCAGAGGGAGGCAGAGAGCCAGAGAGAUGCAGAGAGACAGAGAGAAGCAGAGAGACAGAGAGAAGCAGAGAGACAGAGGGAGGCAGAGAGAGAGAGGGAAGCAGAGAGACAGAGGGAGGCAGAGAGACAGAGGGAGGCAGAGAGACAGAGAGAAGCAGAGAGACAGAGAGAAGCAGAGAGAGCCACAGAAGCAAUGGAACACCAGAGAAAACUGCAGGAGAUCCACAGACUCAAACAACUGCUGGAUCUACUGAUGGUGGACCUACAACUGGCCCACGUAAGACAUGUCAUUGUUAUUAUUAAAAGGCAGUGUAUAUUUACCCAGCUGAAAAUGAAUAGUGGCAGACAGCGGUACGCUAACCCAAUGUUAACUUUUAUUCCUUUCCUUAACCUCACUGAAACUAUACCUAACCUUUACCUUAACCCAACCCUAGGUCCUGAACCUAACCUUCAUUUAUCUCAACCCCUAUGCCUUUCUUCUGCCAGUUGAAUAUCCACUUCCUUAUUAACGUCAUUACUGUUGUUGUUGUUGAUAACUGUAUCUGUGCAGGUUGUAAAUAACUGCAUUAGUGAAACAUCAUUUGUAGGAGUAAUUUCUACAAGCAUAAACAUCAGAGGCAACAUUGUUGUAACAUCACACAAAUUGUAACAGGAAUUUCUCAAACCCCUAACUGAAUGGGCAAGAAGGUUGUGUGUUUGUAUUUGUACACAUUUUGGACAUAAUUGAUUCCAUAAAAUGUCUCAUAAUUUUUUCAAACCAUGUCAAUACAUUAAUUGACAAUGAAUUGUCCAGAUGAAUUGAUCAACAUGACCCUGCUAUUGAUGUUGUCCAGUGUUUUAAUUAAUUCCUUAGCUCUAGGUUCCAUUUCUGUGUAUCAUUCUCUGCAAAUCCUUUGAAAGUAUGUCUUGGUAAUAGAUUAU